AUACGUAGGUGGCAAGCGUUAUCCGGAUUUACUGGGCGUAAAGGGCGCGUAGGCGGCAUUGCAAGUCAGAAGUGAAAUUCCUGAGCUCAACUCGGGCGCUGCUUCUGAAACUGCAGGGCUUGAGUGCUGGAGGGGAUAGCGGAAUUCCUGGUGUAGCGGUAAAAUGCGCAGAUAUUAGGAGGAACACCGGUGGCGAAGGCGGCCUACUGGGCUUUUACUGCCGCUGAGGCUCGAAGGCAUGGGGAGCAAACAGGAUUAGAUACCCUGGUAGUCCAGGCUGUAAACGAUGAUUACUAGGUGUGGGGGGUCUGCCCCCUUCCGUGCCGCAGCUAACACAAUAAGUAAUCCACCUGGGGAGUACGGCCGCAAGGUUGAAACUCAAAGGAAUUGACGGGG
RNAcentral lists this ribosomal RNA (396 nucleotides) under uncultured bacterium. Its description in RNAcentral is "partial 16S ribosomal RNA". It matches the Rfam family "Bacterial small subunit ribosomal RNA", at positions 523 to 918 of the family's 1533-position model. The record is from RNAcentral.